Molecule: long non-coding RNA, 3648 nt
Organism: Callithrix jacchus (white-tufted-ear marmoset)
Lineage: Eukaryota; Metazoa; Chordata; Mammalia; Primates; Cebidae
Source: Ensembl
AUGCCCCAAUACCCUCGCCAGUCUCAGAUUGCUGGUUCAACAGGGCACCCAGACCAGUGCGCUUUGUGCGAAGCACUGUGGAGCGCCGCUGCGCUACAGCACUGGCCACUGGCUGCACCAGCCAAAACCUCUGCCUGGUGUCCCAUAUCUCUUUUAUACCUGGGAAUUUCCCCGAUUUGUGGGCAACAAAGAUCCAUCUGGAAAUGUGGCCCUGCCUCAUUCUCCGCACAUUCACCGAGAGCUUCAAUCCUGGGUUGUUCUCACUGCACCAACUUGAGUCCCUCCCAAUUUUUAUAUUAAUUAGAUAAUGGAGACUUCCAGUAUUCUCUCUCAAAGAGGGGAUGAUACAUAGGCCAGCACUUUUGAAUGCUAAAGUCUAGUCAUUAUUGCUGUUCAAUUUAGUUUUUUUGGUGGCCACAUAUUUUCUGUAGUUGUCUCAUUGUUUAAAUCCAUUGGUAAUUCUUGGUGUCCCUUCAAGUAACUCUUAGAACUGAUACACGGAAGUAUUUUGUAAUGUUUGCUAAAAUGGUCAAUAGCUCUCAGAAAAUUCCUCUAGAAUCCAAAGGCUAAAAUACAAUCAAGAUGCCUUUAAUAUCUUCAAGUGCCACUUUUCUUAUAUUUAUCUAUUGAAGUUUUGCUUACUUGGUAACAUGAGAUGGUCAUUGUUGAACAGCUCAUGAAACAUGAAUUUUCCAAAACUUUCCAAAUAGAUGUUGAACUUUCCAUCUAGUUCCAAAAACAACCAUUUCCAUGAAACUUAAACAGCAAAGUUAAGGAUGUUUAAGUUCGAUGGAACUUAAACAGCUGAAGAGGAUUGGCUGGCAACAACUCAAGAGGAUUCUUCCUUGAUAAACUGCUAUGUCAUUGGGCAAGAAUGAAGUUAAUGUACUUGUUACCUAUAAUGGUUCCCAUUUUCUCUUCUCCCAGCCCUCUGUGUGAACACUAUCUAUCUAUGGUUUAUGGCUGGUCCCAAACCCAGCAGCUUUGUCACCAGACAUGGAGGAUUUAAUCUGAGAAGUAGAGUGACCCAUGGAUUUCAUGGCUCAGUGAGGAAGAACUGGCUCAGAAGCCACAGCUCUAUUUUCCAGGGCAACAAGCAGCAGAAGAACUAAAAACUUAGAAAUUGUGGAAGUGAGAGUAGCAUAAAAGUUCUGAAAUAAGCUCUCUGUAUAUCUGUAGCUAACUUUUUUUUUUUAAUUGCAUUUUAGGUUUUGGGGUACAUGUGCAGAACAUGCAAGAUAGUUGCAUAGGUACACACAUGGCAAUGUGUUUUGCUGCCUUCCUCCCCUUCACCCACAUUUGGCAUUUCUCCCCAGGCUAUCCCUCCCCAGCUCCCCUGCCACUGUCUCUCCCCUAUUACCCCCAAUAGAUCCCAGUGUGUAGUACUCCCUUCUCUGUGUCCUCAUUUUUCAUCACCUGCCUAUGAGUGAGAAUAUGCGGUAUUUCAUUUUCUGUUCUUGUGUCAGUUUGCUGAGAAUGAUGUUCUCCAGAUUCAUCCAUGUCCCUACAAAUGACACGAACUCAUCAUUUCUGAUUGCUGCAUAAUAUUCCAUGGUGUAUAUAUGCCACAUCUUCCCAGUCCAGUCUAUCAUUGAUGGGCAUUUGGGUUGAUUCCAGGUCUUUGCUAUUGUGAACAGUGCUGCAAUGAACAUUCGUGUGCAUGUGUCCUUAUAGUAGAAUGAUUUAUAGUCCUUUGGAUAUAUACCCAGUAAUGGGAUUUCUGGGUCAAAUGGAAUUUCUAUUUCUAAGGCCUUAACUUUAAACUACAAAUGUUUGGGAGAGAUCUGAGAGAUUGUGGUUAAACAAAAAUGAAAAAGAAAUGAGAGCCAAUGAAGACGAGAAUUGGCUGCAACUUUGAGUAAAUUCCUCCAGGUACAUGUAAUUGAGUUCACAGAGAGGGAAAGCCUUAGAGGCAUGAAUCUCUCUCUUAUCAAAAUGUGCCCAUAUUAUGGGCUAAAAUCUAAACAUAAUCACAUAUGUGGCCUUUUGAGAACUAUAAUUAAAAAUAAAAAUAUGAAAAUAAUAGACAGUAACAGUACAUUUUGAGAGAGAUUUUAUCAUUUACCUUUUUUUUUAAUUUUUUAUUGGAAACGACUCUCAUAAAAAUAGAACAGUUGAAAGUUAUUACCAUUAAACAUUAUUAAAUUUGUUUAAGCAACACAUAAUUGAUGGAAAAUAUUGCACAGUAUUUUUGGGUUUUUAACGAAUCUAGAUAAAAUACAGAUAACAAUAGCACAAAAAAUGACAAAAUACAGCUGUGCCAAACAUAAUUCCUAUAAUUUACCAGAAUUAAGAGACUGCUAGCCUAAAAUAAACUGUGAUUAAGUCAAAGAAGCCUGUUGCAGCAGUCCCUGGAUCAACCACACACACAAAAAAAAAAAUUAAAAAAUUGAUGAUACACAUAGCUAAAAAUUCAGAAAAUAAAAUGAUAUACUAAAAAUAUUAACACAAAAGAAAGAAGUAACAGGAGUAAAAGCAUUAGGAAUAACAAUGAUGUGAGAUAUAAAUUUGUUUAAUACAGUUGCUAUCUUGACAUCCAUUUUUGAGUUUGACAUAGGCUGCGUACCUGUCACCUUUGGCUUAAAACUUCCCCUCCCUAUGUGAUUUUUUGCAAUAUAAUUCACUUGUUCCUCCAACCAAACCACCCACAGCUGCUGACAAUGGUAAAAUAUAAUGUUUAAUGCCAGAAUUAUGUAGAUAACUUCUGUCACACUCAAUCACUAAACUAGCUAAUCUACAACUCCUGUAUGAAUGUCUAAGGGAUAAUGAUCAAGGACCUUAAUGAAGGUGUAAGUUCCACAGGUCCUUUCAUGCUUCCUAUUCACUGCUUGAGUUCCCUGCCACAUCCGGACUUCCCAUUACCCCCAUAUUGGCACCUCUCAUCUCUCUGGGAUCUGUAAGUAAUGUCUUUCUUCAGUUUCAUGCAUUUUGUUUUCACCUCCUCAUUGUGUCUCAGUUAACCAGUGCAACUAAAUCUAAACCUAACCUUUCUGGUCAGUGUUAUGUCUUAGAGAGUAGUUUUAUUUUGAAAAGAAUAAAUUGAACACAGGUCAGACAAAAGCCACAAAGGCAUCUGACAAUAUAAACAAUUUUUUUGUGAGAAAGAUAUCUGGUCAUGGGUAAGACACUUAAGAAUUAGGCCAUCUGCUACAGCAAAAAAAAGAAAAAAGAAAAAAAAGAAAAAAAAGAAAGACACAUUAUUAAUGUACACAACAAAAUUCCUGCAAUUUCUGGUUAAGGCAGAACUAAAGCAUAGAGGCAUCAAAACCAAAAUAAAAACUAUAAUGAUAUAAAUCACAGCAAGACAUCUAGACACCAAAUCAAAAUAUCAAAAACCCUAUUGUAAUAAUUAUAUUAUUUAUCUUAAAGGUAUAUACUGAAUGCUUCAAAUGCUAAAAUCAGAGAUUAUCAGUCUGGUUAAGAGUCAAGAUACAACUAUAGGUCAUCCAAAAAAAAGAAGCAUUUUAAUUUCAGAGUCACAGAAAGAUGAAAUACAGGAAUAAAAAAUGACAUCAUUCAGUAAAAACAAUAAGAACUGGAGUAGAUAUAUUAAUAUAAGACAAUGUAGACUUUAAGACAAGGAAUAUUUUUACAUGUAAAGAGAGAUAUUUUAUAAUGACAAUAUCAUGAAACUACAGUUUCAAAAUA